UUAAUUAACUUUUUUCGAUUUACGGCUCUCUUCUGUAUCAGUUACAAAUUCUUGUCACAAUUUUUUCUACGGAAAAAUAUAUGAAAAAGUUCAAAUUUGUCAG
Rhagoletis zephyria (snowberry fruit fly) is the source of this 103-nucleotide long non-coding RNA. RefSeq lists it as uncharacterized. The record is from RefSeq and is a predicted model, not a curated record. Lineage: Eukaryota; Metazoa; Arthropoda; Insecta; Diptera; Tephritidae.